This 230-nucleotide ribosomal RNA is filed under the name uncultured bacterium. RNAcentral describes it as "partial 16S ribosomal RNA". It matches the Rfam family "Bacterial small subunit ribosomal RNA", at positions 562 to 791 of the family's 1533-position model. The record is from RNAcentral.
AAAGGGCGCGUAGGCGGUUAUUCAAGUCAGGUGUGAAAGCCCUGGGCUCAACCCGGGAAUAGCACUUGAUACUGGAUGGCUUGAAUCCGAGAGAGGUUGGUGGAAUUCCCAGUGUAGAGGUGAAAUUCGUAGAGAUUGGGAAGAACACCGGAGGCGAAGGCGGCCAACUGGCUCGGUAUUGACGCUGAGGCGCGAAAGCGUGGGGAGCAAACAGGAUUAGAUACCCUUGU